RNAcentral lists this long non-coding RNA (308 nucleotides) under Populus tremula. Its description in RNAcentral is "long non-coding RNA (PTRE_LNC001787)". Lineage: Eukaryota; Viridiplantae; Streptophyta; Magnoliopsida; Malpighiales; Salicaceae. The record is from RNAcentral.
AUAAAUAAAGCCCAUUCACAGGCUUCAUGAGAUCAUAAAAAUAAUUCUACCCUAUAUAUUUUUCAAUCCAACAUGAGCUUAUUAGAUCAACAUCCUGGAAGGCAACAAAUUGAAAGAUUAUGUUAAAAGGAUCUUUCCAGGAUGAAUGCUCAAAUCCAGGUGAAGGUGUUGGUAGCACAAAAGAGACAAAACAAGAUUGUUCAUGAUAGAUGGAUUUAUAAGGUUUCAACAGUCCAUAGUAGGAUGUUUUCUGCUGCAUCCUCAUGUUAAUGGACUUUUUACUGUUUUUUCUUGGACUUGGAGUGGAG